This is a non-coding RNA of Oryctolagus cuniculus (rabbit), 6035 nucleotides long. The record is from RefSeq and is a predicted model, not a curated record. Lineage: Eukaryota; Metazoa; Chordata; Mammalia; Lagomorpha; Leporidae.
AGUUAGAGACAGAGAGAAAGGUCUUCCUUCUGUUGGUUCACCCUCCAAAUGGCUGCUAUGGCCGUUGCGCUGCGCCCAUCCGAAGCCAGGAGCUAGGUGCUUCCUCCUGGUCUCCCAUGCUGGUGCAGGGCCCAAGCACUUGGGCCAUCCUCCACUGCACUCCCGGGCCACAGCAGAGAGCUGGACUGGAAGAGAAGCAACUGGGACUAGAACCUGGGGUGCCAGUGCCGCAGGCAGAGGAUUAGCCUAGUGAGCCGUGGUGCCAGCCUUUUUUUUUUUUUUUUUUCUUUUUUUUUUUUUAGAUUUAUUUAUUUGAAAGUAGGGUUAUACAGAGGAGAGGCAGAGGUCUUCCAUCUGCUGGCUCACUCCCCAAUUGGCCACAAUGGCCAGAGCUGCACCUAUCCAAAGGCAGGAGCUUCUGGGUCUUCCAUGCAGGUGCAGGAGCCCAAGGACCUGGGCCAUCUUCCACUGCUUUCCCAGGCCAUAGCAGAGAGCUGGAUAGGAAGUGGAGCAGCUGGGAUGCCAGCACUGCAGGCAGUGGCUUUUACCUGCUAUGCCACUGUGCCAGCCCCUCUUAGUGUUCUUAAAGGAGGGUUGGAGAGGAAAUAAAGCAGUAGAUGAAUGGCAGGAAAUAAAAAAUGGAGUGAUAAGAGAGAAGGGCACAGAGCCAGAAUACCCUGCAGCAGUGGUCCUCAAAGCCAGCUUCAAGUCUGCAGCAACAGCAUCACCUGAGAACUUGUUUGAAAUGCAAAUUAUGGGACCCUACUUUAGGUUUUCUGAAUUGGAAAUUGUAGUGAGAGUCUGGCAAUUUACUUCAGCAUGCUCUGACAUGAUUCUGAUGCCCACUAAAGUUUGAGGACUACUGCCCUAUAUGUGCACAGAUAAAUUCCAGGUGAAGAUUCCCACCAGCACAUCUGCCUGGCAGGCCCUCCUAGGUGUGGUAAAAACCAGCCGUUUGCUUUCUCUGCUGCCUUGUUUCCUCUGCCCUUGGUCCCUCACAGCCAUGCUGUCAAUAUUAGGAAAGUUAGCACCAACCCCUGCAGGAUUGCACAGAGAGGAGGCAGAGGCAGCUAAAUCCCACCUUUCCUUGCCCAGGUUGCAGUCCUCAUAGGGCUGUAUUACAAAGAAACAGCAGUCAGCCAAGCCUCCUACCCUCAGAUACCUAAUGGUCAAACAUUGCCCCCUUGUGGUAUAAUAGAGUGGCUUCAGCUUUCUGGCCUAAACUCUCAAAUAUAUUUUAUUCUCUUCACACAAUUACCAUACUUAUUAAUUAAGCAGGGCCUGCUAGAGGGUAGGCUGGAACUAUUGUGGGCUUUGCUUGUUAACUAAAUCCUUACUCAGUAAGGCCCAGUGAAUAGAACGUAUUAUUGGACCUUCCAUAGACUGCUUAGAUAUCAACGAUAUGUUCUUCCUUGCUAUUGGUUGGAGAAAAUCUAUGUACAGGUUGUCUUUGGCUCUUUGAUCUUUACAUAGUAAAUUUUUAAAAAGGUAGCAAGCUGUAAAUUGUGAAUCAGAUUUUACUUCCUGAAUUAGGUCUUUAUUUUUUUUUAAGAUUUAUUUUAUUUGAAAGAGCUACAGAGAAAGAGGGAGAGAUAGAGUGAGAGAUCUUCCAUCUCUGCUGGUUCACUCCCAGUUGGCCACAAUAGCCAGGGCUGAACUAGAUUGAAGCCAGGAGCUUUGUCUGGGUCUCUGACGUGGCUGCAGGUACCCAGACACUUGGGCCAUUGGCAGGGAGCUGGAUCACAAGUGGAGCAGGACACGAACCAGUGCCCAUGUGGGAUGCCAACAGUACAGGCAGCUGCUUUACUCACUGCCAUGAUGACAGCCCCUAAGUUUGGUCUUGUAAUGCAUCACUUCUGAAUGAUUUUGAGCCAUGAUAUGGUGUUGCCUCCUGCCAGAGAGAAGGGCAUGUUUGUGUUAGCAGCAUCAGGCCUGUUGCUUGGCAUUAAUCCGGUUGGGCUAAAAUUGCUUCUGAGCCCCCUCAUCCUAAUCUCUAGUCCCUGGCCUGAGUUUAGAAGAAGGGUGGUUUGGUAUUUACCCAGCUACAGGGUAAUAGAGAACAACCACCCGCUGAAGUGCCUCUGGCAGGUCUGUUCCAAUCAUAAUGUGAGGAUUUUUCUUAUAGUAGCCUGGAAACAAGUACCCAUUUAAAACCAGGGUUCUAGGGGCCAGCACUGUGGCAUAGUGGGUAAAGCCACCACCUGCAGUGCCAGCAUUCCAUAUAGGCGCUGGUUCUAGUCCUGGCUGCUCCACUUCCGAACCAGCUCUCUGCUAUGGCCUGGGAAAGCAGUAGAAGAUGGCCCAAGUCCUUGGGCCCCUGCACUGGCUUGGGAGACCCAGAAGAAGCUCCUGGCUCCUGGCUUUGGAUUGGUAGAGCUCAGGCGACCAUCUGGGGAGUGAACCGAUGGAUGGAAGACCUCUCUGCCUCUCCUCUCUGUGCAACUCAGACUUUCAAAAUAAAUAAAUAAAACUUUUUAAAAAGUUUAUACAUUAACUAGAAAUACUAAGGAAUAAACUCAUUGUACACACUACCAAGGUCAAGAAAUAAUGGAGGGCUGGGGCCAGCACUGUGAUGUAGCAGGUAAUGCUGCCACCUACAGUGCCGGCAUCCCAUAUGGGCACCAAUUUGAGUCCUGGCUGCUCCACUUUUGAUCCAGCUCUCUCUCUGCUUUGGCCUGGGGAAGCAGUAGAGGAUGGCCCAGGUACUUGGGCCUCUGCACCUACAUGGGAGACCAGGAGGACACUCCUGUCUCCUGGCUUCAGAUUGGUACAGCUCAGGCCUUUGCGGCCAUCUGGGAAGUGAACCAGCAGAUGGAAAACUUUCAUUCAUUCUCUCACUCCCUCGCUCUCUAUCUCUCUUUGGCUGCCUCUGCCUCUCUCUAAUUCUGCCUUUCAAAUAAAUAAGUCUUUUUUUAAAAAAGGAAUAAUGGAGUGAUAGGUGAUUGAAGAGAAAGGACAGGAGAGUAUCAGUGCUUUUACUAUGUGCCAGCCACUUUACACAUGCAAAUUUUUACUUAGUCAAAAGGAUAUGAGUUUAGUUGUGUCACUUGCCAUAAACCCUGAAUCUGGUGUGAAACGAAGCUUUAUCACCUACAGGUUUGUGGUUAGGUGGCAAGUGGUUGGCACAUAUCUGGCACGUGGAUUCCAGUGUUAGCAAUGGUAAUGCUCAAUCAUGCCAGCCAGAAAACCCUAUUCUCCACUCCCCCUCACCCUACUGUGACCUGCAUCUUUUUAAUCACUUCUGGUGGUCUCUGAGCAAACACCACAGUCCGGUUCCCAACUACCAUCACAACUCUUCUGGAUAGCCAUUUGACCAUAUCUCUACUACCUUACUGUUGCCUGGCCCCAGUCCAAUCACAUGGUGGCCAGAAUGAUUGCUCUCAAAUGCAGUACUGAUUUUUCACUUUCCUGCUUAAACUGGUAAUUGAUUCCCAUUGUGCUCACGCCACUAGGCAUAGUAACCAAAGUCCCUUGUACCUGAAUCCUACCUUUCUCUCUACCUGUUUAUCCCUUCAAACUCACCUUAGAUCACAACACAUGCUUUCUCCUUCUCUACACCUGUAUAGCAGUUCCCAGUUGGGAAUUUUUUUGUUUAUUUGAAAGCCAGAAUUAGAGAAAGAGAAGGAGAGAGAGAGAUCUCCCAUCUGCUGGUUCACUUCCCAAAUGGUCAUGAGGACAGGGGCAGGGCCAGGCCAAAGCCAGGAGCCAGGAACUCUAUCCAGGUCUCCCACAUGGGUGGCAGGGGCCUAAGCACUCGGGCCAUCUUCCUCUGCUUUCCCAGGCACAAUAGCAGGGAACUGGAUCAAUUUUAUUGCCUAUUUAUCUAUCCUCCAUUACACUUUCAGGUACCUGAGAUGGAAUCUUUUUUUUUUUUUUAACACCAGGGUCUAGUAUAAUGCCCAGCAUUUAAAUGCUUAGUAAAUAUUACUUGAAGACAUAUAUGACAGGGGCUGGCACUGUGAUGUAGAAGGUUAAGACUCUACCUGCAGAGCUGGCAUCCCAUAUGGGCUCCAGUUCGAGUCUGAGUCCCAGAUGCUCUAUUCCAAUCCAGCUCCCUGCUAAUGUGCCUAGAAAAGCAGCAGCAGAUGGCCCAAGUGCUUGGGUCUCUGCACCCACAUGGUAGGCCUGGAAGAAGCCCCAGUUUCCUGGCUUCCACCUGGCCCAGCCCCGCUCAUUGCAGCCAUUUGGGGAGUGAACCAGCAAAUAAAAGAUCUCUCUCUCUCUCUUUCUCUCUGUGUAUGUCUGCCUUUCAAAUAAAUAAAUAAUCUUUUUUAAAAAAAAGAGCUAUAUGAUAAUAGCAAUGAUUUAUUAAGUAUUAUUAUGUACCAAGUGAUGUCUUAAAUACGGCUUAAUGCCUUAAAAACUCUGGCAGGGUGACAGAAAGCAAGCAUGCACUUCUAUCCACUGGUUCACCCCUCAAAUGCCCGCAGUGGCUGGGCCCAGGCCUGGGCCAGAGCUGAAAAUGGGAGCCCAGAGCUCAAUACAGGUUUCCCAAGUGGGUGACAGCCACAAAAUUAGUCGAGCCAUUACCACUGCCUCCCAGGGCCUUCAUCUGGGAGGCAGCUGGCGUCAGCCAGGAAUUGAUACCACAUACUCCAGUGUGGGAUGUGGGAAUCUUAACCACCAGGUCAAGGCCUGUCCCAGGAGCUUAGUUUUCAUUAACUUUGACACGUCUGUGUACAUUUAUGUGGACAAUUAGAUAAACUACUAUGCAUCAGAUCUUAUAAAUACUGUGUUUUUAGCGGUACGCCUCUGUGGGCAGCUUUAAGAGCAUUACCUUCAUUUACCCUCGUCCUUUCAGCAGCCCUAUGAGGUCAAUUUUUUUUUUUGAUAACAGAUCCCAUUUUAUAGAUGAGGAAAUAUUAAGUCCCCUAAUGUCUCACAACCAUUGAGUAGAUUUGGACUACAAAUCCAGGUGGAUUUUAAAGUCUGUUCUCUUAAUCACUGUGGGGAAUCCCACAGGAGUCCCAAAAAUCACAGAUCACCGCUUACCCAUUGAUCAAAAGGAGGUGGACCAUGGAGAAAUCCACUGGUAACCCCUAAAAAGAGUUAUGGUUAUAGCUCACUGCUGUCCACAAAGAAGUAAAAGCAAGAAAUAAAAAUGGAGUUACUUAUGCUAAGCCAGAAAAUGAUGACAUCACUUAUGUCAAGCUCAGGGCUUGCCAGAAAGAUGCUCCUCAUCAGACUGAACAGACAUCCCUGGGCAGCCUGAUAACGAGUGCUACGGACGAUAACCUCAAGUUUCCUUCCUACUCACAUUGUGAGUGACCGCACCCAAGGAAUACUCCAGAUACGCCCUGUCCCCAACAACGGAUGGGUGGCACCCCUGGAAACUCCAAGAGGGAGCACAACUGAUUGGUGACACCCGGACCCCUACUGGAGACUCCCCCUUCAGAGUGGCAAGGAUAAAGGAGAGCCUUUUCCACCGCUCUCGAGGAUCAUGGCCCGAUGUGUGUGAACCUCUGGAUCUCCACACAUCUGGAGCUGAAGAGCCAGCUUGCUAGCACCCUUGCUAAGUGACACAAGGCGAUUACGGGACCAAACUCCAGCGGAGCCGCUGCCUGGCCGCCUCACCUGGACCCGUUAUUGGCCUGCUGCCAGACCAACACCAGACCUCUCAGCAGGGGACCUCUCCAACUCCUUGCCUUGCCCUCUGAACCUACUGCCCAGAGUGACAGCCAUCCCCAAACUUCCUGCCUGUAACUGACUGUCCUGAGAUCCAUCUCUCCGAGUGGUAACGAAGACUUUGGACUCUGGACUUUGGACUUUGACUUUUGGUGACCGUGAUACGACCCUUGAGGACGCAGCACUUAUAAUGAUAUUAGCCGUGUGUAAUAUGAAGGCAUGUGCCUUGACCCUGUGAUUAAGAAUAAUGUUAUGUGCUUAUAUUAUUAUAGUUGGAUUGCCUUUGAGACUGCUAGGUGUGUGUUAUGAUCUGUGGAGUACUGAAUAUAACAAUGUAGAUUGGUAUGCAGAGUGGUCAAGCCCUAGUGUGAAAUUGUGUGGGCAAUAAAAACCUUUCAUUGGAAAGACAA